Molecule: ribosomal RNA, 269 nt
Filed under: uncultured bacterium
Lineage: Bacteria
Description: partial 16S ribosomal RNA
Rfam family: Bacterial small subunit ribosomal RNA
Source: RNAcentral
UUGGCAUCUUAGUGGCGGACGGGUGAGUAACGCGUGGGGAACCUGCCCUGUACAGGGGGAUAACACUUAGAAAUAGGUGCUAAUACCGCAUAACGGGGGAAGCCGCAUGGCUUUUCCCUGAAAACUCCGGUGGUACAGGAUGGGCCCGCGUCUGAUUAGCCAGUUGGCAGGGUAACGGCCUACCAAAGCGACGAUCAGUAGCCGGACUGAGAGGUUGACCGGCCACAUUGGGACUGAGAUACGGCCCAGACUCCUACGGGAGGCAGCAG